Long non-coding RNA from Ochotona curzoniae (black-lipped pika), 588 nucleotides. RefSeq lists it as uncharacterized. The record is from RefSeq and is a predicted model, not a curated record. NCBI's taxonomy places the organism in Eukaryota, Metazoa, Chordata, Mammalia, Lagomorpha, Ochotonidae. The transcript is spliced from 3 exons.
CAGUUUAGCCGGUGGUCACUCAGGAAGAAUAUAAGUUGGCCUCUGUAGUGAUCAUGUGGAAGUCCUGACCUCUGGAUAUGACAAGCCUGCUCAUGAAAAGAAGUGCUGAAUCAGCAAAUGGAGUGAGGAGCGAGAUGAGAUGGCUGCUGCUGCUGCUGCUGCUGUGACUGGCUAGGUCACUGCCUCCUUUCCUGCUGCAAACGCCGCCUGGCUCCAGGCUUACAGGCCUCAGAAGCAAGUCCCCCACCCCUGCAACUCCCCCAAAGGAAGACACUCAUUCUGAAGACUGUGAAGAAGUGCUAUGCUGAUCUAUGCAACUUCAGAAAAACUCCACUAAUUCUAUGGCUCUCUUGGAAAAAGAACCAAAACAAGACAAAGUUGAAUAGAUAAAUGGUCAAAUGUUCAGAAACAUUUAUGUCGCCAAGAAUAAGGAAUCAUAAGUGGUAUUAAUGCCAUGACCAGGUAAACUGAUUUUAAAGCUUAGUCUUUUAUAAGUUGGUCUCUACAAAUGAUCUGCAAUGUUACACUGAAUUUUUACUAACAACUGGAAAAAUAUUUCAUGUUUUUGCAGCUAACAACUUAGUAAUA